Molecule: unclassified non-coding RNA, 349 nt
Filed under: soil metagenome
Description: partial contains 5.8S ribosomal RNA, internal transcribed spacer 2, and large subunit ribosomal RNA
Rfam family: 5.8S ribosomal RNA (bases 4-121)
Source: RNAcentral
GAUUGAAGAACGUAGCGAAAUGCGAUAAGUAAUGUGAAUUGCAGAAUUCAGUGAAUCAUCGAAUCUUUGAACGCACAUUGCGCCCGCCAGUAUUCUGGCGGGCAUGCCUGUCUGAGCGUCAUUUCAACCCUCAGCGCCCGUCCGCGGGAGCUGGUGUUGGGGAUCGGCCGUCCUUGCGGCGGCCGGCCCCGAAAUCUAGUGGCGGUCUCCUCGCGACCUCCUCUGCGUAGUAACACUACCUCGCAGCUGGAUAGCGGUCUGACCACGCCGUAAAACCCCAACUUCUCAAGGUUGACCUCAGAUCAGGUAGGAAUACCCGCUGAACUUAAGCAUAUCAAUAAGCGGAGGA